UGGGGAAUCUUCCGCAAUGAGCGAAAGCCUGACGGAGCAACGCCGCGUGAAUGAAGAAGGCCUUCGGGUCGUAAAGUUCUGUCUUUAGGGAAGAAGUCUCUUUAUGUGAAUAAUGUAGAGAGGUGACGGUACCUGAGGAGGAAGCUCCGGCUAACUACGUGCCAGCAGCCGCGGUAAUACGUAGGGAGCAAGCGUUGUCCGGAAUUACUGGGCGUAAAGGGCGCGUAGGCGGGAUAUUAAGUUAGGUGUGAAAACUCCGGGCUCAACUUGGAGACUGCACUUAAAACUGGUAUUCUUGAGGACAGGAGAGGAAAGUGGAAUUCCUAGUGUAGCGGUGAAAUGCGUAGAUAUUAGGAGGAACACCAGUGGCGAAGGCGACUUUCUGGACUGUAACUGACGCUGGGGCGCGAAAGCGUGGGGAGUGAACG
RNAcentral lists this ribosomal RNA (428 nucleotides) under uncultured prokaryote. Its description in RNAcentral is "bacterial SSU rRNA". It matches the Rfam family "Bacterial small subunit ribosomal RNA", at positions 355 to 774 of the family's 1533-position model. The record is from RNAcentral.